UAAAGUUGUUGCAGUUAAAAAGCUCGUAGCUGAAUUUCGGGAUUAGUAGGUUGGUCGUGCCUCUGGUAUGUACUGGCUUUACUGGUUCCUCCUUCUUGAAGAACUGUAAUGUCAUUAAUUUGGUGUCGCAGGGAAACAGGACUGUUACUUUGAAAAAAUUAGAGUGUUUAAAGCAGGCUAACGCUUGAAUACAUUAGCAUGGAAUAAUGAAAUAGGACGUUUGAUCCUAUUUUGUUGGUUUCUAGGAUUGACGUAAUGAUUAAUAGGG
This 268-nucleotide ribosomal RNA is filed under the name uncultured Glomus. Its description in RNAcentral is "partial small subunit ribosomal RNA". It matches the Rfam family "Eukaryotic small subunit ribosomal RNA", at positions 605 to 877 of the family's 1831-position model. The record is from RNAcentral. Lineage: Eukaryota; Fungi; Glomeromycota; Glomeromycetes; Glomerales; Glomeraceae.